CCUGUUCUCUCCCGCAGGCCUUUGGCAGCAAGGGUGGCAAUUCCUGGAAGAAAUGAGCCCCCUCGUUACGAUGGAGCAGAGCCGAGUCCUGCCCGGCGGAGGUGGUUGGCAUUUCGGGAUCACCCGUUCCUGGUCACGGGAGCUGCGCUGUGUGAGCCCCGUGCCCUCUUAGGGAACGCCGGGCAUGGGCUGAAUCCCUGGCUGGGGUUGUGCACGCCAUAAAUCCACCCGGCGAUGACAGGGACACUCCAAACCCUCCGAGUUGUUUUUGCCUCCGUGGCUCAGGCUCCGGGCGAUCCCAGGCUGUGGCUCCGCCGCUCCCGUCCCAUGAGAGGGCAGCACGAGCCCGCCGGUGUCACGGAUGCGGGUUUAUAGGUGCUGAAAUUGGGCAGCAUCGAUUCUGAAACUCCUUCCGAAGCGAUGUGUGUGUGUGUCUGCUUAAACCUUGCCCCGGAGCAUCCCCAUUCCAGUGACUAAUGUGUGAAAGCAACCAGGAGUGGGUUUCCCUGAGGAUAAAAAGUGUGGUGAACAUCGAUCCUGCCUGCAUUCCUGCAGGAGACUGUGGAAAGCCUUCAUCCUCAUGCUGAGCAGGAUCUGCAGCUCCCAUCAUGCUGCAGCACGACCAGGACUGAUUGCUCUGGAACAUCACCUCUUGGCUGAGUAAUACUGAAGUUGCUUUUCCUGGGAUAAUCCAUAGAGAUGGAUGUUGGGCAAGGAAAAUGCAGAAGGAAGCCAGGAUCAUGUGAGUGUGUUGGACCAGGAGAAAGUACGAGGUUUAUAUUCAGUGUUUAUCUGAAGUGAUUGCUGUUUAUGCACCUAACCUUGUGACAGAGCAAAAACACUGCCAGAAGAAUGUUAUUACCUGAGAAGCUGUUUAUUCCCCUUUAAAAAUUCCUGAACUGGCAAAGGGGCCCUAAAAAGGAAGACGUGGGGAUUCCUCUGUCCUGUGUGUGGGUGUCAGCAGCCAAAACAUCUCUGUCCCCUGUUCCCUCUGCUGGGACAGCAGGGAAUUUCUGGGUCCAGGAACCUGCUCCUGAAAACUGCUGAGUGAACUCCAGGUAGUGUUUACUGGAAUCCACUGGAGGGGUGAUCCCUGAGCCCAUUUUUUAAGCUUGUCACUGGGAGCUUUAGCCUGUGGAAGGGCCCAAUCCUGGGAGCUUUGGAGCUCUUUAAUCCUCAGUAACUUUGAUUGGAGUUAAGGGUCACCUCAGAACCUCCUGGGAGGAGGCCCUGAGCGGCCUCAGCUUUUAAAGUUAAUGGUUUUGAGCAUGAGAACCUGGCCUGGGAGUUUUUAAUUUGAAUUUGCUGGUUUUAGCUUCAGCUUGAAACCGUCUCAAAUAGUUUUUGUGCCCUCAGUACU
This is a long non-coding RNA of Empidonax traillii (willow flycatcher), 1360 nucleotides long. RefSeq lists it as uncharacterized. NCBI's taxonomy places the organism in Eukaryota, Metazoa, Chordata, Aves, Passeriformes, Tyrannidae. The transcript has 2 exons. The record is from RefSeq and is a predicted model, not a curated record.